Oreochromis aureus is the source of this 1486-nucleotide long non-coding RNA. The record is from Ensembl. Lineage: Eukaryota; Metazoa; Chordata; Actinopteri; Cichliformes; Cichlidae.
UUUUUGCACAAGCUUUGAACCCUGCGGCUUUUAGUCAGGUGCGGCUUUUCUAUGGAUUGUCCAUGAUUUUUGUCAUAUCGUAAGACGAUUUGUUUUGUUUGUUCCGCUGUUGUACGGCACUACGUUGCCUGGCGGAAGGGCAUGUGAUCAGACACAAAGUAUCGGGGUUCAAGAGUGGUAUGUUGGUCACAUGUCCAUCCGCCAGGCAACAUAGUGCCGUACGAAGUAGCGCGAAAAACAAACUUCAAAGUAGCGCUACGCGUUCAGCGGGAGGCGUGGAUGACGAGCGGCGAUAAACUUGCGAAAAGCAAGUUAUGCUCAACUCCACCGGUGGAUUCUGACAGCGUGGAAAAGUGUGAAAACAUCCAUGAUCACCAACGGAUUUCGAAGGGCUGGACUGCUGCAGGAUGGAGAGGAGGACACCGCCACGGCCCUUCUGAGGGUGUUCUACUCCGACACUGACAACGAGGAUUUGUUUGGUUUUGAAAGUGACAACGAAGGAAAGAAGCUGAGAGUGGAUGACGUAGCCAUCCCGAGCCUGUUCGUAUCCGACACUGGAGAAGAGGACUUUGGUGGUUUUAGUACGCAGGAAGAUCGUGGUGAAUGACUGACUUUUCUUCUUGUUAAAGCCGUGUCACUGCACCUGAGCCUAAAAGCAGACUACAGAAUGAAUCCCCUCAACGGAGCCCGCUCUUCAGCAGAUGUCCAAGUUGUCACAGUUCAUUUUUUCAUAAUUGGUAGUUCAACCUCAGGGGAACAGCUAGACAUGAAGGGAGUGAGGGCACAGGACUAGAGGAGCGUUAGACAAGAGAGGGCAAACUGAGGAAAGGAGGGUUGGAUGAGCAGGGAAACAAGUGGAGGGGGGUUAGAGACGAGAAGAGAGAAAGGAGCCAUCAGCCAAUAUUUUAACAGGGCUGGCCUGGCAUUUAGAUGGCCGGGUAUCAGAGCAGAUGGUUUAAACAUUCACGGUGGGUACCAUAUUAGCAAGCAACAAGCAUAGCACACUGAGGCUUAAAGCACUGCAAAGUGUUCUCUGCUGGUACACUUUGCCAUGAGAUAUGAGUUACUGGGUUUAAUAGAUUGAUACAGUGGUGACCAUCCUUUCUACAGGAGUAAUGUGUGGGGUACAGCGUGUCCUGGGUCUGCCCCGGGGCCUCCUCCCGGUGGGACAUGCCUGGAACUCCUCACCCAGGAGGAAUCCUUGUCAGAUGCCGAACCACCUCAACUGGUUCCAUUCGAUGUGGAGGAGCAGCGCCUCUGAACCCCUCCCGGAUGGUCGAACUCCUCAUUUCAGCCAGUGGCUAACUGACCAGCUGACUGGAAGCCAAUGAUUUCACAACCAUUGCCUGUCAGAAAAAAAACAACACACUGCAUGAUGUUUAACAACCCGGCUACGGCACUUUGUACAAAAGUAAGCCAAGAGGAACAGAGAGGAAGAUGAUCUGACUCUGAUGAUCCGUGGCCCAUGCUUUCUGGACAUUUACAC